Molecule: ribosomal RNA, 868 nt
Filed under: uncultured archaeon
Lineage: Archaea
Description: bacterial SSU rRNA
Rfam family: Archaeal small subunit ribosomal RNA
Source: RNAcentral
UCUGGUUGAUCCUGCCAGAGGUCACUGCUAUCGGGGUUCGACUAAGCCAUGCAAGUCGAGAGGGGUCAAGCCCUCGGCGUACUGCUCAGUAACACGUGGACAACCUGCCCUAGGGUGGGGGAUAACCCCGGGAAACUGGGGAUAAUACCCCAUAGGCUACGGAGGCUGGAAUGCCCUGUAACCCAAAGCUCCGGCGCCCUAGGAUGGGUCUGCGGCUGAUUAGGUUGUUGUUGGGGUAACGGCCCAACAAGCCGAUCAUCAGUACGGGUUGUGGGAGCAAGAGCCCGGAGAUGGAUUCUGAGACAUGAAUCCAGGCCCUACGGGGCGCAGCAGGCGCGAAAACUUUACAAUGCGGGAAACCGUGAUAAGGGAACUCCGAGUGCCUGUAAUGACAGGCUGUUCAGGUGCUUAAAACACAUCUGGAGAAAGGGCCGGGCAAGACCGGUGCCAGCCGCCGCGGUAAUACCGGCGGCUCGAGUGGUGGCCACUAUUACUGGGCUUAAAGCGUCCGUAGCCGGGAUGUUAAGUCCCUUGGGAAAUCUGACGGCUCAACCGUCAGGCGUUCAAGGGAUACUGGCAUUCUAGGGACCGGGGGAGGUGAGAGGUACUUCAGGGGUAGGAGUGAAAUCCUGUAAUCCUUGGGGGACCACCUGUGGCGAAGGCGUCUCACCAGAACGGCUCCGACGGUGAGGGACGAAAGCUGGGGGAGCAAACCGGAUUAGAUACCCGGGUAGUCCCAGCUGUAAACGAUGCGCGUUAGGUGUAUCGGUGACUACGAGUUACCGAGGUGCCGAAGGGAAACCGUGAAACGUGCCGCCUGGGAAGUACGGUCGCAAGGCUGAAACUUAAAGGAAUUGGCGGGGGAGCA